UUUGUGCUGCUUGCACCUUUUUUUUUUUCUUUUUUCGCGGUCACCUCGUCGUGACCGCGAUGCCCAACACCUGCUGUGUGCCGGGUUGUCGCUCGGGAUACAAGGGCAACGUUGAAAAAGUCUCCCUGUUCUGUUUACCAGCCGACGCAGAACAACGCGACAGGUGGAAACGUGCAAUCCCGCGACAGGAGACUGUCGGAUUUUUGUUCGACUCGAAGUAUGUUCGCGUGUGCGAAAAACAUUUUGAUGCAAGUGACAUCGUACGUGCGGACGUGUGUACAGUGAAUAGGAACAUCGUUUCACUGCCUCGAGAUCGGCCAAGACUGGUGGAAGGCGCCGCACCAAGAAUUUUCGAAGGUUUGCCUGCUUACCUCUCCAAACCAAGACAGCGUUCGCGUGGACUAACAAAGCGCCCACCUGUAAAAAGGCCGCGAGAGCCUUCUCCAGACUGUGAUGCGACAGUUGCGAAUGUGGACGUCUCCAUUGUAGCCGACGAAGAAAUCGACGGUAAGUCUGGCACAAAGCUUGCAAGUAUCCUAACCGCUCACUACGCUAACAAAUUUCGCUCGCUAUACGCUAACAAAAUUGGCUCCUUCCCUAAUGAAAUUUGCUCUUAGUCAGUCUUUGCAGAUGUUGUAAGAACUGAGAAUCGCCCAGGCUUCGCUGAUGCAGAGUGUCAAAGAGAGGUCCCAGUUUAUUCAGUAUCGGAGCUGCAAAGAGUGAAGGCGCAACUUCGCAGCGUGAAGCAACAGCUUCAAUCAUGCCAGCGGAAACUCGCAAAAGCGGAGGCGCAUGCGAAUAAAAAAGGUGGAAUGUACGGGGAUAUUCACAAGCUGUCAAACCGCGAGAAGCUCAUUAUAGACCAGUGCAUCAUGAAGGCAAAUAUGAAGUCUACGAAAGCAGCACGGUAAGAUCUCGUUUGUGAAGUGUGUUUGGAGUUUUAUGUGAAGUGCGGUUUUCGGAGUGUGCACGUUUUCUUUCUGGAUAAUGAUAGAAACUGAAAAGUGAUGCUGUGGACCAAAAUGCAAUAUUUUGUUUUACUUUGAUAGUGCCGUUUGCUGGUGCUGUCGCUGAAUCGUGAACACAAAAAUCUGCAUUUUAUUUAUUGCAGGUUUAAAAAAGAAUGGCUUUACGACUGUUUACUGCUGAAAAUCAAAUCGACAGCAGUUUAUACAUUUCUUCACGAGAAUAAUUUUCUGCCUCUGCCACACCCUCGCACACUCUACUCCUACUUAAAAAAUCUGAAGGCCGGCUUUGGAUUUGAUGAAAAUUUAUUUGCCAUCCUCAAAGAUAAAGUGGGAAAUAUUUCAGAGAGAGAACGCCGAGGUGUCAAUUUUUAUUUUUUUUGCAUUUGAUUUUUCUGGACUUUAGGUAAACAGCUGAAAAAAUAUUUUUUUUUCUUGGGGGUCCUGAUGUUUGACGAGAUGAGCGUGAGAAGGAGCCUUCAUGUAAUGGAAUCGGAUAUGACACUGCUUUGAAAGGUCGACUUAGCAGAGCACACGAAGCCUACUGACCAAGUGAAAGAUGGUGACCAUGUGUUACUGUUCCUUUUCCGACCAUUCCUCGGUGGCUGGUCGCAGGCUGUCGGAGCGUUUUGCACGUCAGUGGCUGCACCAGGCUCCGCUAUUGCUAAACUGCUCCUGCAUUGCAUUGUACUCCUGUCGAAUGCCGGUGUCAUUGUGGAUGCAGUCACUUGCGAUAACUCUACUUCGAACCGAUCAGCAUUGAACUCUUUGGGCGUCAGCGGCGAUAUCGCCAGAGUAUCAACGUCAUUUGAGCAUCCAUGUGACUCCUCCGAAGUCAUUCAGGUCAUAAUUGACCCACCUCACAUCUUCAAGUGCAUCAGGAAUAACCUUCGGAAGGCUGGAAAAUUCCUUUUGCCUGGUGACAAAGAAGUGCAGCAUUUCUACUUUGAAGCUCUGCUAGACUACGAGGAGCAGCAAGCUGGACGCGGGCUGUGCCAAAGCUUACGAAAGCACACAUCAGGCCCAACGCUCUCCAAAAACUGAGUGUGAAACUUGCUGUCCAGGCAAGUCUGCUCUAGCAUGUGUCAUUAAUUAUUAGUAUGUAUCAAAAAGUGCUGUUCCUUCAUGAAAAUACAGCACUCUGCCAUA
RNAcentral lists this long non-coding RNA (2114 nucleotides) under Rhipicephalus microplus (southern cattle tick). Its description in RNAcentral is "uncharacterized LOC119161016". Lineage: Eukaryota; Metazoa; Arthropoda; Arachnida; Ixodida; Ixodidae. The record is from RNAcentral.